This 723-nucleotide ribosomal RNA is filed under the name Bacillus stratosphericus. Its description in RNAcentral is "bacterial SSU rRNA". It matches the Rfam family "Bacterial small subunit ribosomal RNA", at positions 56 to 763 of the family's 1533-position model. RNAcentral also lists the same sequence under 2 other names. Lineage: Bacteria; Bacillati; Bacillota; Bacilli; Caryophanales; Bacillaceae. The record is from RNAcentral.
UGCAGUCGAGCGGACAGAAGGGAGCUUGCUCCCGGAUGUUAGCGGCGGACGGGUGAGUAACACGUGGGUAACCUGCCUGUAAGACUGGGAUAACUCCGGGAAACCGGAGCUAAUACCGGAUAGUUCCUUGAACCGCAUGGUUCAAGGAUGAAAGACGGUUUCGGCUGUCACUUACAGAUGGACCCGCGGCGCAUUAGCUAGUUGGUGAGGUAACGGCUCACCAAGGCGACGAUGCGUAGCCGACCUGAGAGGGUGAUCGGCCACACUGGGACUGAGACACGGCCCAGACUCCUACGGGAGGCAGCAGUAGGGAAUCUUCCGCAAUGGACGAAAGUCUGACGGAGCAACGCCGCGUGAGUGAUGAAGGUUUUCGGAUCGUAAAGCUCUGUUGUUAGGGAAGAACAAGUGCAAGAGUAACUGCUUGCACCUUGACGGUACCUAACCAGAAAGCCACGGCUAACUACGUGCCAGCAGCCGCGGUAAUACGUAGGUGGCAAGCGUUGUCCGGAAUUAUUGGGCGUAAAGGGCUCGCAGGCGGUUUCUUAAGUCUGAUGUGAAAGCCCCCGGCUCAACCGGGGAGGGUCAUUGGAAACUGGGAAACUUGAGUGCAGAAGAGGAGAGUGGAAUUCCACGUGUAGCGGUGAAAUGCGUAGAGAUGUGGAGGAACACCAGUGGCGAAGGCGACUCUCUGGUCUGUAACUGACGCUGAGGAGCGAAAGCGUG